UACGUAGGGUGCGAGCGUUGUCCGGAAUUACUGGGCGUAAAGAGCUCGUAGGUGGUUUGUCGCGUUGUUCGUGAAAACCUGAGGCUUAACCUUGGGCGUGCGGGCGAUACGGGCAGACUGGAGUACUGCAGGGGAGACUGGAAUUCCUGGUGUAGCGGUGGAAUGCGCAGAUAUCGGGAGGAAUACCGAUGGCGAAGGCAGGUCUCUGGGCUGACACUGACGCUCAUGCACGAAAGCGUGGGGAGCAAACAGG
This 253-nucleotide ribosomal RNA is filed under the name uncultured bacterium. RNAcentral's name for it is "partial 16S ribosomal RNA". It matches the Rfam family "Bacterial small subunit ribosomal RNA", at positions 524 to 776 of the family's 1533-position model. The record is from RNAcentral.